AUCCCAUGAUGAGAACACUUACGAAGUAAUUCCUUGAAUCCUUCCAUGACACAUACAAGGAUUCGUCAUCCAAUUGUGAAAAAGUGGUUAUCUCAUUUCACAACUU
Gossypium arboreum is the source of this 106-nucleotide small nucleolar RNA. It matches the Rfam family "Plant small nucleolar RNA R71". From Rfam's summary of the family: R71 is a member of the C/D box family of snoRNAs containing the C (UGAUGA) and D (CUGA) box motifs. Multiple nearly identical copies of this snoRNA have been identified in Arabidopsis, and it is thought to function as a 2'-O-ribose methylation guide for 18S ribosomal RNA. Lineage: Eukaryota; Viridiplantae; Streptophyta; Magnoliopsida; Malvales; Malvaceae. The record is from Rfam.